Gigantopelta aegis is the source of this 510-nucleotide long non-coding RNA. RefSeq lists it as uncharacterized. The transcript has 3 exons. The record is from RefSeq and is a predicted model, not a curated record. Lineage: Eukaryota; Metazoa; Mollusca; Gastropoda; Neomphalida; Peltospiridae.
GGACAUCUCAACGCGGACUGGAGACCACUGAGGGACGGCAGCCAGUUCGAGCUACAUAACAAGAGGGACCGGACCUACAGACAAGCCAUCUUGUUCCCGAAGAUCGACAACAAGUCUCUUCACAAGAUGAUCAAAGUUGUCUGCGGCUCCGACUACUCCAUUGUAGUUCGGACUUUGCGGCAACGUUAACAUCUGCUGCCGACCCUCAGCGAAUGUCCAACGUCACCGACGCAAUAGCCAACCUUUCCUAGGACAGGUAGUCGCACAAUAACAUCAUGGAAGUCGCCGACAAGAUUUGCAGUUUUAAUGAUGUGAGCCUCGUUAUCAGACCAGAAGACGCGCUGCAUCACGGGAUCGAAAUCGACCGCGAUGGGUGAAUGGCGGAUCGAGUGAUGUAUGGCGUGCACUACACCGUUGAGCCCAUUCACUUGAAAAACCUGCCGCUGGUAGGCGUCUGUCACCAAAAGAAAGUAGUCCUGCACAAGACCUGAAAUAAAAAAUAAAUAAAUG